UCCAGACUCCUACGGGAGGCAGCAGUGGGGGAUAUUGCACAAUGGGGGAAACCCUGAUGCAGCGACGCCGCGUGUGGGAAGACGGUCCUCUGGAUUGUAAACCACUGUCCCCAGGGACGAAAAUGACGGUACCUGGGGAGGAAGCUCCGGCUAACUACGUGCCAGCAGCCGCGGUAAUACGGAGGAUCCGAGCGUUAUCCGGAUUUAUUGGGUUUAAAGGGAGCGUAGAUGGGUUGUUAAGUCAGUUGUGAAAUCCUGCGGCUUAACCGCAGAACUGCAUUUGAAACUGUUGAUCUUGAGUACUGGAGAGGCAGACGGAAUUCCUAGUGUAGCGGUGAAAUGCGUAGAUAUUAGGAGGAACACCAGUGGCGAAGGCGGUCUGCUGGACAGCAACUGACGGUGAGGCGCGAAAGCGUGGGGAGCAAACAGGAUUAGAUACCCGGGUAAC
This 448-nucleotide ribosomal RNA is filed under the name uncultured bacterium. Its description in RNAcentral is "bacterial SSU rRNA". It matches the Rfam family "Bacterial small subunit ribosomal RNA", at positions 330 to 794 of the family's 1533-position model. The record is from RNAcentral.